CCUACGGGUGGCAGCAGUCGAGAAUCAUUCACAAUGGGGGAAACCCUGAUGGUGCGACGCCGCGUGGGGGAAUGAAGGUCUUCGGAUUGUAAACCCCUGUCAUGUGGGAGCAAAUUAAAAAGAUAGUACCACAAGAGGAAGAGACGGCUAACUCUGUGCCAGCAGCCGCGGUAAUACAGAGGUCUCAAGCGUUGUUCGGAAUCACUGGGCGUAAAGCGUGCGUAGGCUGUUUCGUAAGUCGUGUGUGAAAGGCGCGGGCUCAACCCGCGGACGGCACAUGAUACUGCGAGACUAGAGUAAGGGAGGGGGAACCGGAAUGCUCGGUGUAGCAGUGAAAUGCGUAGAUAUCGAGAGGAACACUCGUGGCGAAGGCGGGUUCCUGGACAUUAACUGACGAUGAGGCACGAAGGCCAGGGGAGCGAAAGGGAUUAGAUACCCCUGUAGUC
RNAcentral lists this ribosomal RNA (446 nucleotides) under uncultured bacterium. RNAcentral describes it as "partial 16S ribosomal RNA". It matches the Rfam family "Bacterial small subunit ribosomal RNA", at positions 338 to 795 of the family's 1533-position model. The record is from RNAcentral.